Molecule: long non-coding RNA, 234 nt
Filed under: Paramuricea clavata
Lineage: Eukaryota; Metazoa; Cnidaria; Anthozoa; Malacalcyonacea; Plexauridae
Source: RNAcentral
CUAUGACAGCAUUUCGCGAAUAUUUCUGAGCGUUUAUUCAAUAUCCUGCUUUUGUCAGCUUCCAGUAAGCAAACCUUCUCUUCAGGGCACAGAUUGCAUCUUGCUGCACCAGCCGUAUACGCACGGGCACGCUUUAGUAUGCUCCACUUGAUGUUGUAUUGCUUCCCGCUUUUCUUGAGUUUCCACGCAUACUUUGAUAACUCUGUUUCCGCUGAAUACCGAGGAACAGUUAGU